UACUCCCGCCGGCGACCGGCGCACGGGUGAGUAACACGUAUGAAACCUGCCCGUAGCAGGGGGAUAAGCGGAAGAAAUUCCGUCUAAUACCGCGUAACAACCCGAGGAGGCAUCUCCUCGGGUUUAAAGGAAGCGAUUCCGGCUACGGAUGGUCAUGCGUCGCAUUAGCCAGUUGGCGGGGUAACGGCCCACCAAGGCGACGAUGCGUAGGGGUUCUGAGAGGAAGGUCCCCACACUGGUACUGAGACACGGACCAGACUCCUACGGGAGGCAGCAG
Molecule: ribosomal RNA, 277 nt
Filed under: uncultured bacterium
Lineage: Bacteria
Description: partial 16S ribosomal RNA
Rfam family: Bacterial small subunit ribosomal RNA
Source: RNAcentral